UGCAUCUUGGGACAAUUCACCGAGAUAAAGUAGAGCUUUUCAGGCCGGAGCCUGGUAUCGAUGGGGUCUCGCGCGUUGCUCGUCGAACCUUGGGCAGUUGGUUUACUUUGUAAUCGUUGUCUGUUCCCACUUUUCCGAAGCAGUGAAUGCUAAAACGAUAUCGUCGAGCUGCGAGAUUCUGACGAGAAUGUCGUACUCUUAAUGAUUACAUCCCGUAAGAGUGAUUCUUGACCGGGAUGUGAAAGGGGAAGGCUGGCGGAGGGCAGAAUACAGUUGGUGUUCACGGAAUACCCAUCCAUAACAUGGCACAACUCUUCCACGAAGACAAGAAUAGGGUGGUUAUGUGGGUCCCAGAUGAAGCAGCCAUCGUCCAGGUAUCCUUCUGGCAACCUGCCUAUUGCGGGCUGCUUCAUCUCAUCUGCUUUUCUAGGGGCCUUUCCGUCGGACUCAGUCGGACCCAAAUCUUUAGAGCCUGAGUUCAUAAAGACAACUUGAGCAAAUGAGAAUUGAAAUAGCUGUUGUUGUCUGUCAGGUUCAAGUAAACUACCACUGCUAGAAUUUCUUGAGUACAAUGCUACCCUAGCAAAUUGCAACACCUCCAGACAACCUCUCAAAAAAUAAAAUUUAUAACCCCUAGUUACAUGGGAAUACCAACGACAUCUAGUGGAUAUCCUCGUGUUACAAAUCGAGCCCCACUCUGUCUGUCUCUUUUCAGUCUAGCGCCUUGUGCCACCCACGAAACUCUGUUAUCACC
This 754-nucleotide small RNA is filed under the name Histoplasma ohiense. Its description in RNAcentral is "hypothetical lncRNA". Lineage: Eukaryota; Fungi; Ascomycota; Eurotiomycetes; Onygenales; Ajellomycetaceae. The record is from RNAcentral.